UAUAUUUUAGUGUUAAAGCAUAUAAAAUUUUGAGUUUUAUGGAAUUAAAUAAAUUAAUAAAUAUAU
RNAcentral lists this transfer RNA (66 nucleotides) under Lasioglossum lativentre. RNAcentral's name for it is "tRNA-Gln". The record is from RNAcentral. Lineage: Eukaryota; Metazoa; Arthropoda; Insecta; Hymenoptera; Halictidae.